UGAAAAUGAUUAUACAUGUAUUUAAUUGGGAAUGCAGUUAAUUGCUUAAUAUUCCAUACCAGCAAGAACUCUGUUAUAAAAAGGCUACUCAGUUUAUCUUGGAACAAUCUCCUGGCACACCUGAAGUCCGCAGCGAUUAAGAGAUUUACAAACGCUAAGCGGCUGCGAAGCGAAAAGGUUAAUUGCUUUGUAAGCGGCUUGAUGAAAAAAUGUGUAACUAACCACGCGGCAGACCAAUGGAGCUGACAACGCUGCUGACGCCAAUGUUGAUGCUGAUACGAAGCUGACUCAACUUAAUUGGCGCACGAGGCGCAUACUUAAUGCGCUUAGAUGCGAGCCAAGCUCAUCGCAUCGCAUCGCCUCAUUGCUGUUGCCGUUGCAGAAGCCGCUUUUGUGCUUCUAAUUAGAUCCAAAAGGAAACCGUUGUGUGCUCAGUGCAUUUUCUUCACCAUGCAUUGGACACUCGCCUUCAAAGAGAAUUUUAAUUUAAACUCCAAAAAGACGCAAUAACAGUCAAAAGUGUUCAAUAAGUAAAUUAACUGUUAGAAGCACUUUUUGGUAUUUGUUUGUUAUGACAAUCUAUAAAUUUAUUCAUUGUAAAUUUGUCUGAUUUCGAAAGUAUAUUAAUAAAUUUGAUCUGUCAUAAA
Drosophila sulfurigaster albostrigata is the source of this 647-nucleotide long non-coding RNA. RefSeq lists it as uncharacterized. The record is from RefSeq and is a predicted model, not a curated record. NCBI's taxonomy places the organism in Eukaryota, Metazoa, Arthropoda, Insecta, Diptera, Drosophilidae. The transcript has 2 exons.